This 337-nucleotide long non-coding RNA is filed under the name Solanum tuberosum (potato). RNAcentral's name for it is "long non-coding RNA (STUB_LNC007095)". Lineage: Eukaryota; Viridiplantae; Streptophyta; Magnoliopsida; Solanales; Solanaceae. The record is from RNAcentral.
CCAAAAGGGGGAGCGAUAGCUUUCUAUAUUUAGUAAGGCAAUAACAUGGAUUCUUGAAUAAAUAGAAGUAGAACAUGAGUUUACCAGGGGAAUGAAUAUCCUCAAUCUUGUUGAAUUCAGGUUUCAGAGAUGUCUCACCUGCAGCAUCAUUCGAUUCACCAACAACAGAAGUUCUGGGGAUAGCCAGAUGUACAAAAGGCCUGUAGAUUUGAAUAUAAUCUGAAACCACGAAGUGCCUCUCUUUGCAUAAAACAUAAUAUAUGCCUGCUCUGCCAAAACAUCUACUUGAACAAAAAUAACUUUUGACAAAAUCAAACAAAAUAUCAAGUUAGUUGUC